This 527-nucleotide ribosomal RNA is filed under the name uncultured archaeon. RNAcentral's name for it is "bacterial SSU rRNA". It matches the Rfam family "Archaeal small subunit ribosomal RNA", at positions 472 to 997 of the family's 1478-position model. The record is from RNAcentral.
AACACCGGCGGCCCGAGUGGUGAUCGUGAUUAUUGGGUCUAAAGGGUCCGUAGCCGGUUUGGUCAGUCCUCCGGGAAAUCUGAUAGCUCAACUAUUAGGCUUUCGGGGGAUACUGCCAGACUUGGAACCGGGAGAGGUAAGAGGUACUACAGGGGUAGGAGUGAAAUCUUGUAAUCCCUGUGGGACCACCUGUGGCGAAGGCGUCUUACCAGAACGGGUUCGACGGUGAGGGACGAAAGCUGGGGGCACGAACCGGAUUAGAUACCCGGGUAGUCCCAGCCGUAAACGAUGCUCGCUAGGUGUCAGGCAUGGCGCGACCGUGUCUGGUGCCGCAGGGAAGCCGUGAAGCGAGCCACCUGGGAAGUACGGCCGCAAGGCUGAAACUUAAAGGAAUUGGCGGGGGAGCACAACAACGGGUGGAAGCCUGCGGUUUAAUUGGACUCAACGCCGGACAACUCACCGGGGGCGACAGCAAUAUGUAGGCCAAGCUGAAGACUUUGCCUGAAUCGCUGAGAAGAGGUGCAUGG